Sorghum bicolor (sorghum) is the source of this 1127-nucleotide RNA transcript. RefSeq lists it as uncharacterized. The record is from RefSeq and is a predicted model, not a curated record. The transcript has 4 exons. Lineage: Eukaryota; Viridiplantae; Streptophyta; Magnoliopsida; Poales; Poaceae.
GGCCAUUUCCCUCCUUUUCCAAGGUCCAUGGGCCAUUUCCCUGUCUCACCUCUGCUCUCCCUCACUCGCUCACUGUCGUCGACGGCGGCGGCGGCGGUGGACCAGUUUUGCUCUGGGAAGCAGCGGCCAUGGCCGCGUUGCGUCGUGCUGCACGCGGCGAUGGCGUCGGUCGACCGCCGAGGGUCGGGUCGAGCUACACCUCCCGCGGUGGCGUGGCGUAGGCUGCUUCCCGCGGCGAGCCGGCGACGACGUGAAACCCACUCCGCUCUCGGUUCUUGUUUUGGUUCCGCGGCUUCAGAUUUGCUGGAACUUUUGGAUCCAGAAGAACAAAGUUGAACUAAAAAUACCCCUCUUCUAGGAAAGCUUAUGAUUAUCUUACCUUGGAAGGUCGCAUCCAUGAGGCUGCCAUCUCCAGUGCUGGCAAAUUAACUCUGUGGAGAAUAGAUGACGAGGAGCAGCAUUCAGAAAAUCAUCUGCACGCAAUGAUGGAGGUGGAGAGUGGUACGUACAAUUGUUACUCAUCUUUAUGUAGCUUAUGAGACGAGGGAGCCUCAAUAUGAGUGGAUCCACAAACAGUAGCAAACAUCAGUGGUUAAUUUGGAUGGAUUAUUGGUACCUCAUAACUGUUAACCGAAUGCUUGCUGCUCCACAUGGUCCCCUACUUCCUGAAAGUCCAAGAAGAGUCGGUACAACUGCUAUGGUCAUUUGCAAGACUGCAAAGUGUGUGCUGGACUCUGUCUAAUAUACACCACAGCUCAUUUGUUUACUUCUAAUAUAGAGGUUAGCUAGACUGAUUACAUGUCACCAUGACGGUGGCUGGUGAUGAUGUUGUUGCCGUGUGAGGCGCGGGCAGAGCUCCAGCUUGCAGGCCAAAAUCAUCACCCCAGCGAGGGUCUAUGGGUUGUGAACCUCGACAUCUAAGCUGAGCGAUGGGCCAUAGCGGAGGUGCAGCAGCUCCUUGAAAUGGCGGCACGACGGAGUAUUUGAUCCUAGGAAGAAUGUUAUUGGCUCUCAAUGGUAAUUUGCAAAUAGCUAGCUUAAGAAGUCGCUAGCUAUUAGAAAGUCACUAGCUAUUGUGGAGAGUAUUGUGAGAGAGUUAUUUCUAGAAGAUUGUGCUAGAUUAGCAA